GAUGAACGCUGGCGGCGUGCCUAAUACAUGCAAGUCGAGCGGACGGACGAGAAGCUUGCUUCUCUGAUGUUAGCGGCGGACGGGUGAGUAACACGUGGAUAACCUACCUAUAAGACUGGGAUAACUUCGGGAAACCGGAGCUAAUACCGGAUAAUAUUUUGAACCGCAUGGUUCAAAAGUGAAAGACGGUCUUGCUGUCACUUAUAGAUGGAUCCGCGCUGCAUUAGCUAGUUGGUAAGGUAACGGCUUACCAAGGCAACGAUGCAUAGCCGACCUGAGAGGGUGAUCGGCCACACUGGAACUGAGACACGGUCCAGACUCCUACGGGAGGCAGCAGUAGGGAAUCUUCCGCAAUGGGCGAAAGCCUGACGGAGCAACGCCGCGUGAGUGAUGAAGGUCUUCGGAUCGUAAAACUCUGUUAUUAGGGAAGAACAUAUGUGUAAGUAACUGUGCACAUCUUGACGGUACCUAAUCAGAAAGCCACGGCUAACUACGU
RNAcentral lists this ribosomal RNA (496 nucleotides) under uncultured bacterium. RNAcentral describes it as "partial 16S ribosomal RNA". It matches the Rfam family "Bacterial small subunit ribosomal RNA", at positions 28 to 506 of the family's 1533-position model. The record is from RNAcentral.